GAUGAACGCUGGCGGCGUGCCUAAUACAUGCAAGUCGAGCGAACAGACGAGGAGCUUGUUCCUCUGACGUUAGCGGCGGACGGGUGAGAAACACGUGGAUAACCUACCUAUAAGACUGGGAUAACUUCGGGAAACCGGAUCUAAUACUGGAUAAUAUAUUGAACCGCAUGGUUCAAUAGUGAAAGACGGUUUUGCUGUCACUUAUAGAUGGAUUCGCGUCGCAUUAGCUAGUUGGUAAGGUAACGGCUUACCAAGGCAACGAUGCGUAGCCGACCUGAGAGGGUGAUCGGCCACACUGGAACUGAGACACGGCCCAGACUCCUACGGGAGGCAGCAGUAGGGAAUCUUCCGCAAUGGGCGAAAGCCUGACGGAGCAACGCCGCGUGAGUGAUGAAGGUCUUCGGAUCGUAAAACUCUGUUAUUAGGGAAGAACAAAUGUGUAAGUAACUAUGCACGUCUUGACGGUACCUAAUCAGAAAGCCACGGCUAACUACGUG
Molecule: ribosomal RNA, 497 nt
Filed under: uncultured bacterium
Lineage: Bacteria
Description: partial 16S ribosomal RNA
Rfam family: Bacterial small subunit ribosomal RNA
Source: RNAcentral